This 502-nucleotide ribosomal RNA is filed under the name Chryseobacterium gambrini. Its description in RNAcentral is "bacterial SSU rRNA". It matches the Rfam family "Bacterial small subunit ribosomal RNA", at positions 525 to 1033 of the family's 1533-position model. Lineage: Bacteria; Pseudomonadati; Bacteroidota; Flavobacteriia; Flavobacteriales; Weeksellaceae. The record is from RNAcentral.
AAAGAAUUGCCCGUUUUUUCCGGAAUUUAUUGGGUUUAAGGGUCCGUAGGCGGAUCCGUAAGUCAGUGGUGAAAUCUCAUAGCUUAACUAUGAAACUGCCAUUGAUACUGCGGGUCUUGAGUAAGGUAGAAGUAGCUGGAAUAAGUAGUGUAGCGGUGAAAUGCAUAGAUAUUACUUAGAACACCAAUUGCGAAGGCAGGUUACUAUGUCUUAACUGACGCUGAUGGACGAAAGCGUGGGGAGCGAACAGGAUUAGAUACCCUGGUAGUCCACGCCGUAAACGAUGCUAACUCGUUUUUGGUUUUUCGGAAUCAGAGACUAAGCGAAAGUGAUAAGUUAGCCACCUGGGGAGUACGAACGCAAGUUUGAAACUCAAAGGAAUUGACGGGGGCCCGCACAAGCGGUGGAUUAUGUGGUUUAAUUCGAUGAUACGCGAGGAACCUUACCAAGACUUAAAUGGGAAUUGACAGAUUUAGAAAUAGAUCCUCCUUCGGGCAAUUUU